Chitinophaga sancti is the source of this 386-nucleotide non-coding RNA. NCBI's taxonomy places the organism in Bacteria, Pseudomonadati, Bacteroidota, Chitinophagia, Chitinophagales, Chitinophagaceae. The record is from Rfam.
ACUACAAACCGUGCUAUCGUUCCAGGCAACUGGUAAGGAAAGUCCGGACAGCAUAGAGCAACGCACCACCUAACUGGUGGGGACCUGUUCAUCUUAUCCUGGAUAAGACGCACAGGUCACAGAAAGUGCCACAGAAAAUGACCGCCUUGUCUCGUACAGGGUAAGGGUGAAAAUGUAGGGUAAGAGCCUACGUUCUGGAAUGGCAACAUAACAGAAGGGUAAACCUUGCGUGCUGAAAUGCCAUGUAUACGGUCAAUGAGGGCGGCUCGUCCAAUGACCGAGGGUAGGCAGAUACAGGUGACGUGCGAACGUCAUCGCAGAUAAAUGAUAGCAUCAGUUGUCGCAAGACAGUUGAACAGAAUCCGGCUUAUAGGUUUGUAGUUUUU